Molecule: ribosomal RNA, 301 nt
Filed under: uncultured bacterium
Lineage: Bacteria
Description: partial 16S ribosomal RNA
Rfam family: Bacterial small subunit ribosomal RNA
Source: RNAcentral
CAGUCGCCGCGGUAAUACGAAGGGUGCAAGCGUUAAUCGGAAUUACUGGGCGUAAAGCGUGCGCAGGCGGUUUGUUAAGACAGAUGUGAAAUCCCCGGGCUCAACCUGGGAACUGCAUUUGUGACUGGCAAGCUAGAGUGUGGCAGAGGGGGGUGGAAUUCCGCGUGUAGCAGUGAAAUGCGUAGAUAUGCGGAGGAACACCGAUGGCGAAGGCAGCCCCCUGGGCCAACACUGACGCUCAUGCACGAAAGCGUGGGGAGCAAACAGGAUUAGAUACCCGUGUAGUCCCUGUCUCUUAUAC